Molecule: RNA transcript, 1793 nt
Organism: Amborella trichopoda
Lineage: Eukaryota; Viridiplantae; Streptophyta; Magnoliopsida; Amborellales; Amborellaceae
Gene name: dof zinc finger protein DOF3.1
Source: RefSeq, a predicted model, not a curated record
CCUUUAAUACACCUUCAACAACUUUCUCUCUCCAUCAAGAAUCCACUGUCAACCCUUUCCCUCACCCCCUCUCUCUCUAGACUCUUUUCUAUCUCCAUGAAAGCCCUUACCUGAGUUCCUGAAAAAUCUGGUAGUUCUCUCAUACUUGCAUGUAAGGCUUCCAAACACAAUAAAACCUAUGCUUUUUCAUGAAAAACCAUGUCAAAUUCUCAAUGAUCUGUUCACUCUGAGGAAGCAGGUCAUUUUCUCUCUCUAGGUACAGUUACAUCUCUCUCUCUGAAAUGAGAGUUUCAGAUAGAGGUUAAUUGUGUCCAUUAAUACCUGAGCACUUUCAUUGUGUUAUUGAAGUUUCCGAGGAAACCCACAUCACAAAAUCAACCCAAAUUCAAUGGUUCUUUCUCUCUCUAAAGGAAGGUUCUUAGGAAACCCAUUUCAAGAUCCAAGUUUCUACUGUUCUUGUUCUUUUGUUGAAGAUUUGCAACUUCCAUAGAAAACCCACAUCAAAUCAGAGCCAUCUUUUUUCCUCGCUUCAGUUGGAGUAAUCUGUUUCCAUGAAAAUCCACUUCAAAUGCUCAAAAGUUUGAAGGAGAAGACUCUCUCUUUCUAGGGAAAUAAAGCCCAUCUUUUUCUUUGAUAACGGACAGAGAAGAGAGUAAACUCUGCAGGUUCUUUCUCUCUCUAGAAAACAACCAAAGAGAGAGAAUCAUCGGCAUCAGCUCUACGAAACAAUAAAGAGAAGAGGGGAGAGAAAAUAGAGUUCUCUCUAGAAUUGCAGAGGAAGAGAACCCACAAGUGUGAGAAAAUUUACCAAUCCCCACAACAAAAAGCACAAUUAAGUGGACUUCCUCUUUCUCUCUCUAGAUUUUGAUCUCUCUGGAAGGAGGAAGGUGAGGAACGAGAGGAAGAGAGAGAGUGAAAAUGCAGGACCAAGCCCAAAUGAUCUCUGAUAAGAGGGCUUUGAAACCCCAAAGCUUUAUUGAUCAAGAGCAGCAACAACUCAAAUGCCCUCGAUGCGAAUCCAUGAACACCAAGUUUUGCUAUUACAACAAUUACAAUCUCUCUCAACCUCGCCAUUUCUGCAAAAAUUGCAGAAGAUAUUGGACAAAAGGAGGAGCUCUUCGGAACAUUCCAGUUGGUGGGGGAAGCCGGAAAAACACGAAACGUUCAGCUUCCUCGACUGCUCGGCCAAAGGCUGUGGCUGCGCCGGAAAAUGAACCAGUGGUCGGAAAUUUGGCCGGGAAAUUGGCCGGGAUCUACAGUGGGGUCCGUGAGGAGGAGGUGAAAAUGAUGGAGAUAACAGGGAGUUUCAGUUCUCUGCUGAAUUCAGGUGAAAGGGGGUUUUGGGGUUUGCCGGAAAGCGGAGAUAGCGGGGCACCAUUGAUGUUGCAGAAUGAAGCUUGGAUUGGAGCGGCGUGGGGGCCUGAUCUUGCCAUGUACACGCCUGGCACUGCUGGUUUACAGUGAGUAGUAGAGUGAUUUUUGCACAGUUAUGGAUGACGAUUUUCAACUCGUUUUACUUAGUGGGGGUUAUAAUGGUAUUGGAUGUUAGGGAAGGAGUCUGAUAAAAUGUGAUCCCAGCUGAAUAAUUGUCGGCCAUUUUCAUAGUAUUAUAAUGCAUAUUUAACUUUUUUUUAUACUCAAAGUUAUAUUUCUUUUGCUUGUUUUAUCUUUACUGUAUGCAGGGCCCUCUCUCUCUAUCUUUCUCUCUCUGGGGUUUUGGUGUUUUAUUUGUUAGGCAUGAAUUGUGUACAGAGCUGAAUAAUUAUUAAUGACUUCAGGUUUUUAUCUGCAAA